This 495-nucleotide ribosomal RNA is filed under the name uncultured bacterium. RNAcentral's name for it is "partial 16S ribosomal RNA". It matches the Rfam family "Bacterial small subunit ribosomal RNA", at positions 28 to 507 of the family's 1533-position model. The record is from RNAcentral.
GAUGAACGCUGGCGGCGUGCCUAAUACAUGCAAGUAGAACGCUGAAGGAGGAGCUUGCUCUUCUGGAUGAGUUGCGAACGGGUGAGUAACGCGUAGGUAACCUGCCUGGUAGCGGGGGAUAACUAUUGGAAACGAUAGCUAAUACCGCAUGACAACAGUUAUUGCAUGAUAACUGUUUAAAAGGGGCAACUGCUCCACUACCAGAUGGACCUGCGUUGUAUUAGCUAGUUGGUGAGGUAACGGCUCACCAAGGCGACGAUACAUAGCCGACCUGAGAGGGUGAUCGGCCACCCUGGGACUGAGACACGGCCCAGACUCCUACGGGAGGCAGCAGUAGGGAAUCUUCGGCAAUGGACGGAAGUCUGACCGAGCAACGCCGCGUGAGUGAAGAAGGUUUUCGGGUCGUAAAGCUCUGUUGUCAGAGAAGAACGAGUGUGAGAGUGGAAAGUUCACACUGUGACGGUAUCUUACCAGAAAGGGACGGCUAACUACGUG